UUAUAUGAGAAUAUGAGAAUGAUUUAUGACCAUUAGAUUUUAAUGAAGGAGUUGGAUUAAGAAACUAUGGUAAGUCAAUCACGUGACUCUCUUUUCUCACAAAUCAGCUUCUCUCACACUCUCUCUCUUCCUUCCUUCAUCAAAUUUCUCUCGAUCUCUCUUUCUCAACUCAAAAUCACGUUCAACAAUUUCUCUCUUUCUCUUCUCAACUCAACAAUUUCUAAACCUAUAAACCUUGAUCCUUUAAUAUCAUCAUCAUUUUUCAAAUGUCUUCUUCUUCCGUAGAAUCAGUUCGUGAACUUCUCAACAAACCAUGGAAAAUUGUUCCCUUUCCCACCAUCAAAUCCAACGAUCUCUUCUCUCUCUUCCUCAAAGUGUUUUUCUGCUUCUCUUCUUUUUGAUUUAUUCUUGUUUUGUAUCCUUCUUGGACUUUGAUUUUCAGUAUAAAUUGGGUUUUUUAAAUCUUUGUGUCCCUUAUACUUUGAUUUUCUGGUACUGGUGUAGCAGGAGCUUAAGUGCAAAUGAACUAGGUACUGCUGCUGAUUUUCGGAUGCCUGAGUUAUUUUCUAGACCAGUUAGCUGAAAUUGGCAAAUGAACUAGGCACCGCUGUCGAAGACCAGUUAAAUGAAAUUGGUACUAGUGUCGAAGACUAGCGUGAAAUUCUGUCAAAGACUAACUGAAAUUGAUGCUUAGUUUAAUGUAGUUGCGAUUUGUGACAAAGCUCACUAGUGCUUAGUUUGUAUUCACUAUGCUUACACAUUGUAGAUGAAAGAACUUGGCACCGCCUUGAUUAUGUUGUAGAUUGUAAAUGGGGGUUAGCUCUAUUUGUAGAGUGAUUCACAUUGUAAAUGGGUAAAUGGGGGUUAGCUCUAUUUGUAGAGUGAUUCACAUUGUAAAUGAGAGUUAGCUCUAUCUUUGUACAAAUUGUAAUUAUCAUCUUAUAUUAAAUGAAGAAGUUUGAUUGAAUUGUCUCAAUA
Molecule: long non-coding RNA, 978 nt
Organism: Trifolium pratense (red clover)
Lineage: Eukaryota; Viridiplantae; Streptophyta; Magnoliopsida; Fabales; Fabaceae
Exons: 2
Source: RefSeq, a predicted model, not a curated record